This 265-nucleotide ribosomal RNA is filed under the name uncultured archaeon. Its description in RNAcentral is "partial 16S ribosomal RNA". It matches the Rfam family "Archaeal small subunit ribosomal RNA", at positions 717 to 982 of the family's 1478-position model. The record is from RNAcentral.
ACACGACUACAUUAGAUACCCCUGUAGUCCUAGCCGUAAACGAUACUCGCUAGGUGUCGGCCACGGUGCGACCGUUGUCGGUGCCGUAGGGAAGCCGUGAAGCGAGCCACCUGGGAAGUACGGCCGCAAGGCUGAAACUUAAAGGAAUUGGCGGGGGAGCACAACAACGGGUGGAGCCUGCGGUUUAAUUGGACUCAACGCCGGGAAGCUCACCGGAUAAGACAGCGGAAUGAUUGCCGGGCUGAAGACCCUGCAUGACCAGCUG